Molecule: non-coding RNA, 2232 nt
Organism: Monodelphis domestica (gray short-tailed opossum)
Lineage: Eukaryota; Metazoa; Chordata; Mammalia; Didelphimorphia; Didelphidae
Source: RefSeq, a predicted model, not a curated record
GCAGGGGCUCGGCUAAUUAUUCAGGAGCGGGGUGGGGAGGGCUUCUCGAUCCCUGAUCUUAUGUCCAAUGAACAGGCGACUGACAUGCAUUAUUCACGAGGGGGGCCUUGUCUGACCCACUCACGCGUGGCUACCAAAGACGCGGUCGUUUGACAACCUCACCACAGUCUGUGACAGCAACGUGCCACCCACCAGCCGGCGCAGCAGCGACCCCAGCCUCAACGAGAAGUGGCAAGAGCAUCGGCGCUCCCUGGAGCUGAGCAGCCUGGGCAGCCCAGGGGAGGAGCCUUGUGAUGGGGACACUUUGGGCAAACAAAGCAGGGCCUUGGUGGGAGCAGAGCUCUCAGUGGCUGCCGGUGUAGCAGAGGGGCAGAUGGAAAACAUCCUGCAGGAAGCCACUAAAGAGGACAGUGUACUGGAGGAAGCCCCCCGCAGGAGCAAUGCCGAGGUGGAAGAGACCAAAGAGGGGGCUCUCCUGGAGAAGAGCAGGAGGGAGGACCUUGAGCACUCACUUCCUAAGAAACCAGAAAUGACACGGGGAGCUCUGAUGACUUCUCCAGGAAAUAGCACACAUCAGCUCUUGGCAGAUCUCCCUGGGCAGCAACCCGAGGAGCCCGGGCCUCUGCCCAGCAACCCCCAGGAGGCCCCUAGGAGGCCUGGCCUGCAGGAAGGUCCUGGGGAGGGGCCAGGGGCCAGGGACACUCCACAGGCUGUGGAUGUAGAGAGCCACCCAUCCCCACUGCACCCCGAGAUUCCCUAUGGCUCCUCCCCACCCCCAGCAGUGCCAGCAGGAGCAAGAAUCUCCACUGCAGAGAGCUGUGUGGAAACAGUAAGAGAAGGGGAGAUGAGCACAGAUGAGCUUCCCAAAGGGCCCAGCCAUAGACCUUGCCUCCUGGACAGUGGGGACGAUGAGCUUUCUCAAGCUGAUGGGGAGCACCUGGCAGACAGGGCCAGGGCGGGCUCUAGAGGACCCAGGACUUCCCACAGCCCCAUGCCUUCUUCCUGUGCCUUGCCCUUAGCGGAGCCUAAAGAGGAGAUUGUGUGUAACGGAGACCUGGAGCUAGAGAACAAGGCCAUGGAGAGCCCCGUGGGGCUGACCGUGCCCCAGAGAUACCCUGCCCCGAACGGACACUGUCUGGAUGGAGAGCACGGCAAGGCGAAAGGGCCCUGGAGCCGACGGGUGGCCGCUGCCAGCAGCGGCUGUGCCCAGCUCCCCUAGCGGAGCGCUCAGGCCAAGUGGCUGCAGGGCCAGCCAAGCAGACAGGCAGCAGUGGCUGGCAGUCCGGAGCAGCCCACUCGCAGUCACCUGGACGAUGACGGGAUGCCGGUCUACACGGACGCCAUCCAGCAGCGCUUGCGGCAGAUCGAAACGGGCCACCAGCAGGAAGUAGAGACGCUGAAGAAACAGGUUCAGGAGCUGAGAAGCCGCCUGGAGAGCCAGUGCCUGAACAGCUCCCUGCGCUUCAAUGGGGACUUUGGGGACGAAGUGAGCUCAGUCCCCGCCUCCGAAAGCAAAGCGGAUCCGAAUUGCUUGGCUUGCUGCAGCAGAGAUUUUCUCUGAAGCCAGCUGGGAGCAGGUGGAUAAACAGGACACAGAGGUGCAGACUCACUCCCUGUGCUGCGGCUAACCAUCGAGCUCCGCAGCCCCUUCCACUAGGGCGCGACCACCUGGCACAGCAGGGCACCGCUUGGGCACCCUUCCUGCUGGCACCUCGACUCUGGGCCUUCAGCUGCCAGCUCUCUAGUUCCACACGAUCUCAGAGAACCAGCAGGAAUCACCUAUACACCAGGCACUCCUAGUUGUGGGCCCGCUUGGCUCCCAGGCAGGAGGAGGGAGUCGGGAGCUCUUGACUACUUCUUUUUUCUCUGAGGGGAAUUUGAUGGAGAUGGUUUGGACGCCUUUCCUUUAUUGAUCAUUCUGAAUCUCUCAAGUCAGGGCCGAAGGAGUCAGCGUCAACCUUUGCUCUCCUCUGCUAAACGUUUGCCAGCAUCCCCUUUGGUGAAGAUUUCUCUGGAAUGGGAGAUGACUAGUCCCCAGACCCUAAUAAAUAUGCCAAUGGAGAUCCCCAGAGCCAGGAAGCUGCUACUGCACAUGUGGAAAUUCCAUCAGUUCCAGAGAGGUUUCUCUGCAACUUCCCCAUCAUCCCUAAGGCUACCUGAUUAGCCCCCAGACUGUUUUACUAGCUAACAGGCUAUUGUACCACCAUACAAAUAAAAUUCUUUUCUUCUGGA